Molecule: long non-coding RNA, 1096 nt
Organism: Monopterus albus (swamp eel)
Lineage: Eukaryota; Metazoa; Chordata; Actinopteri; Synbranchiformes; Synbranchidae
Exons: 7
Source: RefSeq, a predicted model, not a curated record
GUUCUGUAAGUUUGGUUGUAGUGGAGAUACAAGGUGGAGUAUAACGCCAGCUGUUCUGCUACUCAGGUGGGUAGCAUUAGAGAUUGGAGAAAAUCACACUCAAUAAAAAACGUCGGGCGGUUUUGACGUCACCGGAUCGUGCUGAUGAAGACCCGAUGUUUGCACCUUUGUUUCUGCCCCGAUGAAGACCCGGUGAGGUCUUAACCGGUCGGCGUCUUUUUAUUGAGAUGCCCUGUUACAGGCCACAGAAUGCAUGGACAAGAAUAUGGGACUUGCACAGCAUAAAUAGUCUCGGGCCUCCUGCGAGAAGGACCGACAGCAUUCCGGGCCCCUGUCACUCCUACAUAUGGACAUCAAAUGCAAGUCGAUGAGAUCCUGAUCCUCCAAACAAGGCAUCCACGGCUUUGGGGUUCUUCUUUGAAGCUGCAAAGAAACCUGACUUUCCAUCCGGCCAGACUGCUAGAGCCAUGGCUAUGGAAAAUGGGAUGACUCCCUCAUGAGGACAUUGAUGGGGACCAUUUUCCCAGAUGUGGAUCAUGCUGGAGUACAGUGAAGAACCAAGGGAGCAGAACAAGACAGAUUUAUAGUUGUAGCUUUACUGAAGAAAACGAAACAAAAAAAAACAUAAGACAGGCCCUGUUUUUAAGUGCUGCUGAAGUUUUGGGCUAAAAUGGGAAUUCCCUACUGGUGGGGUCAUCAAGGCAGUGUACUUCACAUCUCCAUGCAGUUGCACUGUGACUUCUCCAGUCAUAUGACUGAACAUACCCUUUGGGUUUAGGGGAUGGGGGUCUGCUAAGCUGUGGUGGUCCAGCUUUGGGAAAGUCCUGGGCUUCUUUUAGAGCAGGUAGAGGCUUUAGCUCAGUUGGGCUGGAUGGGUCAGUCUUCUUUGGAGGAGGAGGUCUCCUUGGUGCCAUGGUGAGGGGUCUCUGAGGGGGCUCCUUGUGGGGAGGCACUGGUGGUUUUGAUGGGGAAGAUGAACUCUCCUGGCUAUGACUGUAAAUGUGCUUAAUCAAUGGUACUUGCCCUGCCCUGUUUAGGGCAUUGUUUUACAUUUUAUCAAUGUGUUAGAUGUGGUGUGAAUAAACACUCUUCAUGU